RNAcentral lists this ribosomal RNA (455 nucleotides) under uncultured bacterium. RNAcentral's name for it is "bacterial SSU rRNA". It matches the Rfam family "Bacterial small subunit ribosomal RNA", at positions 340 to 786 of the family's 1533-position model. The record is from RNAcentral.
UACGGAAGGCAGCACUGGGGAAUAUUGCACAAUGGGCGCAAGCCUGAUGCAGCCAUGCCGCGUGUAUGAAGAAGGCCUUCGGGUUGUAAAGUACUUUCAGUCGUGAGGAAGGUGUUAAGGUUAAUAACCUUAGCAAUUGACGUUAGCGACAGAAGAAGCACCGGCUAACUCCGUGCCAGCAGCCGCGGUAAUACGGAGGGUGCGAGCGUUAAUCGGAAUUACUGGGCGUAAAGGGCACGCAGGCGGUUAAUUAAGUUGGAUGUGAAAUCCCCGGGCUUAACCUGGGAAUGGCAUUCAAGACUGGUUAGCUAGAGUCUUGUAGAGGGGGUAGAAUUCCAUGUGUAGCGGUGAAAUGCGUAGAGAUGUGGAGGAAUACCGGGUGGCGAAGGCGGCCCCUGGGACAAAGACUGACGCUCAUGUGCGAAAGCGUGGGGAGCAAACGAGGAUUAGAUACC